RNAcentral lists this ribosomal RNA (497 nucleotides) under uncultured bacterium. RNAcentral describes it as "partial 16S ribosomal RNA". It matches the Rfam family "Bacterial small subunit ribosomal RNA", at positions 28 to 507 of the family's 1533-position model. The record is from RNAcentral.
GAGGAAAGAGGGAGGCGUGCCUAAUACAUGCAAGUCGAGCGAACAGACGAGGAGCUUGCUCCUUUGACGUUAGCGGCGGACGGGUGAGUAACACGUAGGUAACCUACCUAUAAGACUGGGAUAACUUCGGGAAACCGGAGCUAAUACCGGAUAAUAUUUCGAACCGCAUGGUUCGAUAGUGAAAGAUGGCUUUGCUAUCACUUAUAGAUGGACCUGCGCCGUAUUAGCUAGUUGGUAAGGUAACGGCUUACCAAGGCAACGAUACGUAGCCGACCUGAGAGGGUGAUCGGCCACACUGGAACUGAGACACGGUCCAGACUCCUACGGGAGGCAGCAGUAGGGAAUCUUCCGCAAUGGGCGAAAGCCUGACGGAGCAACGCCGCGUGAGUGAUGAAGGUCUUCGGAUCGUAAAACUCUGUUAUUAGGGAAGAACAAACGUGUAAGUAACUGUGCACGUCUUGACGGUACCUAAUCAGAAAGCCACGGCUAACUACGUG